This 253-nucleotide ribosomal RNA is filed under the name uncultured bacterium. Its description in RNAcentral is "partial 16S ribosomal RNA". It matches the Rfam family "Bacterial small subunit ribosomal RNA", at positions 524 to 776 of the family's 1533-position model. The record is from RNAcentral.
UACGGGGGGGGCAAGCGUUGUUCGGAAUUACUGGGCGUAAAGGGCCAGUAGGCGGCCAACUAAGUCCGACGUGAAAUCCCAAGGCUUAACCUUGGAACUGCGUCGGAUACUGGAUGGCUUGAAUUCGGGAGAGGGAUGCAGAAUUCCAGGUGUAGCGGUGAAAUGCGUAGAUAUCUGGAGGAAUACCGGUGGCGAAGGCGGCAUCCUGGACCGACAUUGACGCUGAACGGCGAAAGCUAAGGGAGCAAACGGG